UUGCUCUGGCAGCAAAUAUACAAAAAUGGGAACAAUACAGAGAUUAACAUGGCCGCUGCACAAGGAUGACAUGUUUAUUUUCAAAUUUUAAAUACAUAA
Molecule: small nuclear RNA, 99 nt
Organism: Pongo abelii (Sumatran orangutan)
Lineage: Eukaryota; Metazoa; Chordata; Mammalia; Primates; Hominidae
Source: Ensembl